Molecule: ribosomal RNA, 426 nt
Filed under: uncultured Lysobacteraceae bacterium
Lineage: Bacteria; Pseudomonadati; Pseudomonadota; Gammaproteobacteria; Lysobacterales; Lysobacteraceae
Description: bacterial SSU rRNA
Rfam family: Bacterial small subunit ribosomal RNA
Source: RNAcentral
GGGGAAUAUUGGACAAUGGGCGCAAGCCUGAUCCAGCCAUGCCGCGUGGGUGAAGAAGGCCUUCGGGUUGUAAAGCCCUUUUGUUGGGAAGGAAAACCGCCCGCCCAUUACCGGGUUGUCCUGCGGGUACCCAAGGAUUAACACCCGCUAAACUCCUUCCCAGCAGCCGCGGUAAUACGAAGGGUGCAAGCGUUACUCGGAAUUACUGGGCGUAAAGCGUGCGUAGGUGGUGGUUUAAGUCCGUUGUGAAAGCCCUGGGCUCAACCUGGGAACUGCAGUGGAUACUGGAUCACUAGAGUGUGGCAGAGGGUAGUGGAAUUCCCGGUGUAGCAGUGAAAUGCGUAGAGAUCGGGAGGAACAUCAGUGGCGAAGGCGACUGCCUGGGCCAACACUGACACUGAGGCACGAAAGCGUGGGGAGCAAACA